GACGAACGCUGGCGGCGUGCCUAAUACAUGCAAGUGGGACGCAAGGGAACACACUGUGCUUGCACACCGUGUUUUCUUGAGUCGCGAACGGGUGAGUAACGCGUAGGUAGCCUGCCUAUUAGCGGGGGAUAACUAUUGGAAACGAUAGCUAAUACCGCAUAAUAUUAAUUAUUGCAUGAUAAUUGAUUGAAAGAUGCAAGCGCAUCACUAGUAGAUGGACCUGCGUUGUAUUAGCUAGUUGGUAAGGUAAGAGCUUACCAAGGCGACGAUACAUAGCCGACCUGAGAGGGUGAUCGGCCACACUGGGACUGAGACACGGCCCAGACUCCUACGGGAGGCAGCAGUAGGGAAUCUUCGGCAAUGGACGAAAGUCUGACCGAGCAACGCCGCGUGAGUGAAGAAGGUUUUCGGAUCGUAAAGCUCUGUUGUAAGUCAAGAACGUGUGUGAGAGUGGAAAGUUCACAC
Molecule: ribosomal RNA, 465 nt
Filed under: Streptococcus mutans
Lineage: Bacteria; Bacillati; Bacillota; Bacilli; Lactobacillales; Streptococcaceae
Description: bacterial SSU rRNA
Rfam family: Bacterial small subunit ribosomal RNA
Source: RNAcentral